RNAcentral lists this long non-coding RNA (985 nucleotides) under Cyanistes caeruleus (blue tit). RNAcentral describes it as "lncRNA (ENSCCEG00000004907.1)". The record is from RNAcentral. Lineage: Eukaryota; Metazoa; Chordata; Aves; Passeriformes; Paridae.
AUGACACUGAAGGAUCAUUGGGGUGUCCUAACCUCAGAUAAAGUGAGGCCUUAUGAAAUGAAGAUGAAGGAAUAUUUAAUCAAGUCACAGUCAGGGCCUCACAUACUUGGAACGAUAAAACCGGAAAAAGUCACGUGGCAAGAGGAUUCACAUUUCCAAGACAUCACUUCUGAGGGUGCUGAUGAUGUCAGAAAUUGCAAAGCACCAAGAAAGAUAAUUACCUCAUAGCUAUAGGAACGUUUAGAGCUUAGCAGAAAAAUAGUCACUAGACAGGUUAGCGAGACAUUUGGGAACCUUUCAGGUAGGUCUAUCUCCUUUAACUUUUUCCUGUCUUUCUGGUGUUACUGUUAGACAUGCCGAGUGUUCUUGUCAGCCACAUACGUCCGUGCGGUUCUUCAUCCUAAUGAAUCUGGGGCUUGCUCUUCUGAAGCCAGUGAAUUUUCGAUUUAAAAACAAAGACAACAACAACAAAAAAAACCAUACACAGCCCCCAAAAAUUACACAGGCCACCAAAACAAUUGCUUGUUCUAUUUUGUAGAAUAUAGUCUCAAGACAGGCUUAAAUGACGUUUGUUUCUUGUAGACUUGCUAGAUAACGCGGAUGAAAUGUAUGGCUGUGUUCAUACAGUUACUGCCCUGCAAUCUUCCAGCCCGUCUGAUUUGCAGGGUGUGUCAGAAUGGAGAUCUCAGCCCCUGGCAGGCAGCGCUUCUGGGGCCAGCUGUGGGAUCCUGCUGCUGAGCAUUUAAUGCAAGAGCUGCUGUUUCACUGCAAUUUAGAUUGCAGCAUGUUCAGGGAGACAGCUGCUGCCUUUCAUUUUUCUUAGUACACCAGGCUGCAGUAGGGAACAUUUCUGCUGGAGCCAACAUGUGGUGGGGGAGAAGAGAAUAGGAGGGACGUGGAGGAUAGAGCUUCUGACUUUAUCGUGUUGUUCAUUCAUGAUUGUUGGGAGCAGCAGCCGAAUCAGAAGAGUUGAACCCUAUUGAUU